GAUGAACGCUGGCGGCGUGCCUAAUACAUGCAAGUCGAGCGAACAGACGAGGAGUUUGCUCCUCGGACGUUAGCGGCGCACGGGUGAGUCACACGUGCAUAACCCACCUAUAAGUCUGGGAAAACUUCGGGAAACCGGCGCUAAUACCGUAUAAUAUAUUGAACCGCCUGGUUCAAUAGUGAAAGACGUCUUUGCUGGCUCUGAUAGCUGCAUCCGCGCCGGAUUAGGUGGUUGGUAAGGUAACGGCUUACCAAGGCAACGAUGCGUAGCCGACCUGAGGGGCUGAUCGCCCACCCGAGAGCUUAGCCGCCGACCCGACUCCUACGAGAGGCCGCAGUCUGGAAUGGUAGGCAGUAGGCGGAAGCCUGACGGAGCGACGCCGCGUGAGAGGUGGCAGUCUUCGGUUCGUAACACUCUGUUAUGAGGUGAAAACAAAUUUGUAAGUAAAUGAGCCCAUCGUGACGGUACCUAAACAGAAAGCCACGGCUAACUACGUG
RNAcentral lists this ribosomal RNA (497 nucleotides) under uncultured bacterium. Its description in RNAcentral is "partial 16S ribosomal RNA". It matches the Rfam family "Bacterial small subunit ribosomal RNA", at positions 28 to 507 of the family's 1533-position model. The record is from RNAcentral.